UUUUUUUUUAUAUUUCUAAUUACACAAAAGCAAAAUACUUGUACGCAGAAUGCGAACAACCAAAAAACGCAGAACAUGCUGAACAGCAGCAUCAACCAAAAUUUAUUCUUUCUCCUUUCUUUAUGGGGUAAGUCUUUAUCAUCCAAAAGCAGAACCCCGCUAUGGGGUUGGAGUCAUCAUUUUGUUUCGAAGAGGAAGUAGCAUUUGCACUGUGGCCGUGAAGUUUUGGACCUGAGAUUGCAUUUGCGCUAUUUUUUGAGCUUGCUUUCUUUGCAGGGAAGGGGAGUCUGUGAGUAGACAAUUGCAUCUAUUGGAAUUCGAUUUGGCAGGAUUUGAGAGGCUUAUCAUUUUCUUUCUUUUUCCACUACUGUACAUUUUUUUGACAAGUAUGGAUGGAAAUUCUGAUGGAUCCUGUCACUCAUUACAUCCAAGAAUAUUUGCAUGGUUUUUCUCUUGCUUCGGACACACAGCUAUAUACACCCCAUUCACAUAGCAACUGUAUUACCAAGACAAGAUGUAGACUUUUGUUUACAUUAUUCUUUUAGAUUAGUAGUAGUUUACAACUUUAUAUUAUUAUCAAUCAACCAUAUUAUUCUUCAAAGGAGAAAAAGAAUAAGCAUAUCUUGGAAACGAGAAAAAGAAGUCUAUCAAUUCAUGGA
Molecule: long non-coding RNA, 659 nt
Organism: Lycium ferocissimum
Lineage: Eukaryota; Viridiplantae; Streptophyta; Magnoliopsida; Solanales; Solanaceae
Exons: 3
Source: RefSeq, a predicted model, not a curated record